Molecule: ribosomal RNA, 252 nt
Filed under: uncultured bacterium
Lineage: Bacteria
Description: partial 16S ribosomal RNA
Rfam family: Bacterial small subunit ribosomal RNA
Source: RNAcentral
UACGGAGGAUGCGAGCGUUAUCCGGAUUUAUUGGGUUUAAAGGGUGCGUAGGCGGGCUUUUAAGUCAGCGGUAAAAAUUCAGGGCUCAACCCCGUCCGGCCGUUGAAACUGGGGGCCUUGAGUGGGCGAGAAGAAGGCGGAAUGCGUGGUGUAGCGGUGAAAUGCAUAGAUAUCACGCAGAACCCCGAUUGCGAAGGCAGCCUUCCGGCGCCCUACUGACGCUGAGGCACGAAAGUGCGGGGAUCGAACAGG